AAGGGAGACCUAAUUCAGGUAGGAGACGAAAAAAAAGUAGUCCCAACCAAGAAUCAAUCCCAAAAGGUCGGAGCGAGGCGAAAUUGGCUUUCAAACUAGGUUCUGGGUUCACACAAGACCUGAAUCAGGAACAAGGGCUAUUAGCUCAGGUGGUUAGAGCGCACCCCUGAUAAGGGUGAGGUCCCUGGUUCGAGUCCAGGAUGGCCCACCUGCACAGGUGGCAAAAACAAGAGAAGCGAGGAAUCAGCAGCUUAUCUUAUCUAUAUAUAUAUAGGAGAGAAUGCUGGCUCUGAGUAAAGAGACCAGAGGAACCUUGAAAACUGCAUAGAGCUAGGUGAAAAAGCCAAAAAAGAAGACCGCAA
RNAcentral lists this transfer RNA (362 nucleotides) under uncultured Microcystis sp. Its description in RNAcentral is "partial 16S-23S ribosomal RNA intergenic spacer". The stretch from base 135 to 208 matches the Rfam family "tRNA". The record is from RNAcentral. Lineage: Bacteria; Bacillati; Cyanobacteriota; Cyanophyceae; Chroococcales; Microcystaceae.